CUACUCUGGAGGCAAACUGCUUCUGAGCCUCUGGAGAAUGGGAGAGUUUUAGCCCAGGGCUCUACCUUCACCUACCAGGAUAUCCUAGCUGGGCUGGUUGGGUACGUGCCUAGUGUCCCUGGCAUGGUCAUGGAUGAGUUCCAGUUCUCCCUCACUGAUGGCCUCCACGUGGACACAGGGAGGAUGAAGAUCUACAUAGAACUGCCUGCAAGUGACACACCUCACUUGGCUGUAAACCAAGGCCUACAGCUCUCAGCAGGGUCCAUAGCACGCAUCACAGAACAGCACUUGAAAGUGACAGAUAUUGACUCAGAUGACCAUCAGGUUAUGUUCAUCAUGAAGGAAGAUCCUGGUGCAGGGCGCCUGCAGAUGGUGAAGCAUGGCAACCUGGAGCAAAUUUCUAUUAAAGGCCCCAUCCGAAGUUUCACCCAGGCAGACAUUAGCCAAGGUCAGCCAGUUCUCUUCUGCCUACCAGGCUUCUGUGGACUGCACCUACACUAGUAAAAUGAGAAUUAAAUGUCUGGUAGUCUAUGGCAAUAAACUGUGCAGUCUUUGUUUUGAAGA
RNAcentral lists this small RNA (564 nucleotides) under Pongo abelii (Sumatran orangutan). RNAcentral's name for it is "retained intron". The record is from RNAcentral. Lineage: Eukaryota; Metazoa; Chordata; Mammalia; Primates; Hominidae.